CCUUUAUCGUGUUGAAACUUUACAAUGUGUUUUUCGUGAGUUUCCUCCAGCAGGAUAAGGAAUUUUCUCAAAGUGAUUUUUGCAAUUGUUGCCGUUUUUGUUGUUGGGACAGAAUUGAAAAAGUUUACUAAAUGCGAACUUGCAAAGGAGCUAACAGAAAAAGGGGCCAACACAAGUGAUUUGCCUAAAUGGAUUUGCAUAGCUGAACAAGCAAGUAACUUGAAUUCAAAAAACAGUACUCGUUUUAACACUAUGUAUUUCGUCGGUUUAUACAAGAUAUCGAAUGCUCACUGCUCGACGACCAAUGAAACUAGUGGAACGUGCAAUGUGACGUGCCAAACUCUCCGUCAAGACGACAUUACUGAACAGGUGAAGUGUGCUCUAAAACUGAAGGAAGAGUAUGGAUUCCAGUAUUGGAGUACGAUCUGGAACCGAACAUGCCAAUACAAUAAUUAUACGUUGGAUUGCCCCACAUCUUAAGGGACAAAUAUGUCAUUUUUGUCUUACAGUAAUAACAUAUCUAUGUUUCAACUAUGAAGAAAAAUAUGUAAGCUUAUUGCCUGUCAAACUUUGUUUUCUUACAAAAAAGAAAGUUUUUUUA
Molecule: unclassified non-coding RNA, 601 nt
Filed under: Cimex lectularius (bed bug)
Lineage: Eukaryota; Metazoa; Arthropoda; Insecta; Hemiptera; Cimicidae
Description: lysozyme c-1-like, transcript variant X1
Source: RNAcentral